CCUACGGGAGGCAGCAGUGGGGAAUAUUGGGCAAUGGAGGAAACUCUGACCCAGCGACGCCGCGUGCGGGAUGAAGGCCUUCGGGUUGUAAACCGCUUUCAGCAGGGAAGAAGCGAAAGUGACGGUACCUGCAGAAGAAGCACCGGCUAACUAUGUGCCAGCAGCCGCGGUAAUACAUAGGGUGCAAGCGUUGUCCGGAAUUAUUGGGCGUAAAGAGCUCGUAGGUGGUUCGUCACGUCGGAUGUGAAAAUCUGGGGCUUAACCCCAGACCUGCAUUCGAUACGGGCGAGCUUGAGUAUGGUAGGGGAGUCUGGAAUUCCUGGUGUAGCGGUGGAAUGCGCAGAUAUCAGGAGGAACACCAAUGGCGAAGGCAGGACUCUGGGCCAUUACUGACACUGAGGAGCGAAAGCGUGGGGAGCGAACAGGAUUAGGAUACCCUGGUAGUCCACGCCGUAAACGGUGGGCACUAGUUGUGGGGACCUUCCACGGUCUCUGCGACGCAGCUAACGCAUUAAGUGCCCCGCCUGGGGAGACGAGCGCGAGAAUAAACGUUAAAGUAAGUUAGAGNGUUGAGAGNGCGAGCGACGACGAGGAGAG
This 597-nucleotide ribosomal RNA is filed under the name uncultured bacterium. RNAcentral's name for it is "bacterial SSU rRNA". The stretch from base 1 to 525 matches the Rfam family "Bacterial small subunit ribosomal RNA", at positions 338 to 873 of the family's 1533-position model. The record is from RNAcentral.